This 276-nucleotide small RNA is filed under the name Paenibacillus sp. CECT 9249. RNAcentral describes it as "BsrG". It matches the Rfam family "BsrG". Rfam says of the family: bsrE, bsrG and bsrH pair through intermolecular interactions with antisense sRNAs. SR4 interaction with the 3'UTR of bsrG RNA promotes bsrG degradation and inhibits its translation. Lineage: Bacteria; Bacillati; Bacillota; Bacilli; Caryophanales; Paenibacillaceae. The record is from RNAcentral.
UACAACUGAACGGCUUACAAGGGCGGUCGGCUAAUCUCCCAGAAGGGAGGUGAUGCCGUGGAGGUUAAGGAUGCCUUGACGCUUAUGAUCGGUUUCGGUUCUUUGCUUAUUGCAGUGCUGACGCUGGUCAUAACCAUCGUCAUCGCACUUAUCCAUAACACAAAGAAAUAGACCGCCCUCUGCAAAGGUAAACCGGUCUAUUUCCUGAUCGUUUAACCCAAAGCCGACCGCUCUUGAAGCGGCUGUUGUACAAGGAGUCGGUUGCCGCCGGCUCCU